AUGGGAUACAUCGCACCAGAGCUAUACUCUCGGAAUUUUGGAGGGGUUUCGUACAAGUCAGAUGUAUACAGUUUUAGCAUGCUUGUGUUGGAAAUGGUCAGUGGAAGGAGGAACUCAGAUCCAAGUGUUGAGAACCAGGAUGAGGUAUAUCUCCCAGAGUGGAUCUACGAGAAAGUAAUCAAUGGGCAAGAAUGGGAGCUUACUUUGGAAAUGACAGCAGAAGACAAGGAGAAGAUGAGACAGCUGACUAUUGUGGCACUGUGGUGCAUCCAGUGGAACCCGAAGAACUGGCCAUCAAUGACUAAGGUGGUAAACAUGUUAACUGGGAGGCUUCAGAACCUGCAUAUUCCCCCCAAGCCCUUUGUGUCGUCUGAUAAUCGCCCCAUGCCACAAAACACGACGAACACAUGA
Molecule: ribosomal RNA, 411 nt
Filed under: Triticum aestivum (bread wheat)
Lineage: Eukaryota; Viridiplantae; Streptophyta; Magnoliopsida; Poales; Poaceae
Description: partial small subunit ribosomal RNA
Source: RNAcentral